RNAcentral lists this transfer RNA (63 nucleotides) under Aphrophora sp. EMHAU-2015-Zz062722. Its description in RNAcentral is "tRNA-His". The record is from RNAcentral. Lineage: Eukaryota; Metazoa; Arthropoda; Insecta; Hemiptera; Aphrophoridae.
AUUUAAAUAGUUUAUAAAAAUGAUGAUUUGUGGGAUCAUUGAUGUCUUUACUGACUUUAAAUU